RNAcentral lists this ribosomal RNA (463 nucleotides) under uncultured bacterium. RNAcentral describes it as "partial 16S ribosomal RNA". It matches the Rfam family "Bacterial small subunit ribosomal RNA", at positions 28 to 507 of the family's 1533-position model. The record is from RNAcentral.
GACGAACGCUGGCGGCGUGCUUAACACAUGCAAGUCGAACGGUAAGGCCCUUCGGGGUACACGAGUGGCGGACGGGUGAGUAAUGCGUGAGUAAUCUGCUCUUCACUCUGGGAUAACAGCUGGAAACGGCUGCUAAUACCGGAUAUUCAGCUCCUGUCGCAUGGUGGGGGUUGUAAAGUUUUGGUGGUGGAGGAUGGGCUCGCGCCCUAUCAGCUUGUUGGUGGGGUGAUGGGCUACCAAGGCGUCGACGGGUAGCCGGCCUGAGAGGGCGACCGGCCACAUUGGGACUGAGAUACGGCCCAAACUCCUACGGGAGGCAGCAGUGGGGAAUAUUGCACAAUGGGCGGAAGCCUGAUGCAGCAACGCCGCGUGCGGGAUGACGGCCUUCGGGUUGUAAACCGCUUUCAGCAGGGACGAAGCGCAAGUGACGGUAACUGCAGAAGAAGCACCGGCUAACUACGUG